RNAcentral lists this ribosomal RNA (467 nucleotides) under uncultured bacterium. RNAcentral's name for it is "partial 16S ribosomal RNA". It matches the Rfam family "Bacterial small subunit ribosomal RNA", at positions 28 to 507 of the family's 1533-position model. The record is from RNAcentral.
GACGAACGCUGGCGGCGUGCUUAACACAUGCAAGUCGAACGGAAAGGCCCUGCUUUUGUGGGGUGCUCGAGUGGCGAACGGGUGAGUAACACGUGAGUAACCUGCCCUUGACUUUGGGAUAACUUCAGGAAACUGGGGCUAAUACCGGAUAGGAGCUCCUGCUGCAUGGUGGGGGUUGGAAAGUUUCGGCGGUUGGGGAUGGACUCGCGGCUUAUCAGCUUGUUGGCGGGGUAGUGGCUUACCAAGGCUUUGACGGGUAGCCGGCCGAGAGGGUGACCGGCCACAUUGGGACUGAGAUACGGCCCAGACUCCUACGGGAGGCAGCAGUGGGGAAUAUUGCACAAUGGGCGGAAGCCUGAUGCAGCAACGCCGCGUGCGGGAUGACGGCCUUCGGGUUGUAAACCGCUUUCGCCUGUGACGAAGCGUGAGUGACGGUAAUGGGUAAAGAAGCACCGGCUAACUACGUG